Molecule: transfer RNA, 72 nt
Filed under: Stegodyphus mimosarum
Lineage: Eukaryota; Metazoa; Arthropoda; Arachnida; Araneae; Eresidae
Rfam family: tRNA
About the family: Transfer RNA (tRNA) molecules are approximately 80 nucleotides in length. Their secondary structure includes four short double-helical elements and three loops (D, anti-codon, and T loops).
Source: Rfam by way of RNAcentral
GCCUUCGUGGUGUAGUGGGCAGCACGCUGGGCGCGUAUUCCAGAGUCCCUGGUUCGAGUCCUGGCGAAGGCG